UGGGGAAUAUUGGACAAUGGGCGAAAACCUGAUCCAGCCAUGCCGCGUGAGUGAUGAAGGCCCUAGGGUUGUAAAGCUCUUUUAACGGGGAAGAUAAUGACGGUACCCGUAGAAUAAGCCCCGGCUAACUUCGUGCCAGCAGCCGCGGUAAUACGAGGGGGGCUAGCGUUGCUCGGAAUCACUGGGCGUAAAGCGCACGUAGGCGGACUCUUAAGUCGGUGGUGAAAUCCUGGAGCUCAACUCCAGAACUGCCUUCGAUACUGGGAGUCUCGAGUUCGGGAGAGGUGAGUGGAACUGCGAGUGUAGAGGUGAAAUUCGUAGAUAUUCGCAAGAACACCAGUGGCGAAGGCGGCUCACUGGCCCGAUACUGACGCUGAGGUGCGAAAGCGUGGGGAGCAAACA
RNAcentral lists this ribosomal RNA (402 nucleotides) under uncultured bacterium. RNAcentral describes it as "bacterial SSU rRNA". It matches the Rfam family "Bacterial small subunit ribosomal RNA", at positions 355 to 774 of the family's 1533-position model. The record is from RNAcentral.